This 454-nucleotide ribosomal RNA is filed under the name uncultured Anoxybacillus sp. RNAcentral describes it as "bacterial SSU rRNA". It matches the Rfam family "Bacterial small subunit ribosomal RNA", at positions 929 to 1384 of the family's 1533-position model. The record is from RNAcentral. Lineage: Bacteria; Bacillati; Bacillota; Bacilli; Caryophanales; Anoxybacillaceae.
GCGGUGGAGCAUGUGGUUUAAUUCGAAGCAACGCGAAGAACCUUACCAGGUCUUGACAUCCCUGACAACCCGAGAGAUCGGGCGUUCCCCUUCGGGGGACAGGGUGACAGGUGGUGCAUGGUUGUCGUCAGCUCGUGUCGUGAGAUGUUGGGUUAAGUCCCGCAACGAGCGCAACCCUCGACCUUAGUUGCCAGCAUUCAGUUGGGCACUCUAAGGUGACUGCCGGCUAAAAGUCGGAGGAAGGUGGGAUGACGUCAAAUCAUCAUGCCCCUUAUGACCUGGGCUACACACGUGCUACAAUGGGCGGUACAAAGGGUCGCGAACCCGCGAGGGGGAGCCAAUCCCAAAAAGCCGCUCUCAGUUCGGAUUGCAGGCUGCAACUCGCCUGCAUGAAGCCGGAAUCGCUAGUAAUCGCGGAUCAGCAUGCCGCGGUGAAUACGUUCCCGGGCCUUGU